This 426-nucleotide ribosomal RNA is filed under the name uncultured Pseudomonadota bacterium. Its description in RNAcentral is "bacterial SSU rRNA". It matches the Rfam family "Bacterial small subunit ribosomal RNA", at positions 356 to 774 of the family's 1533-position model. The record is from RNAcentral. Lineage: Bacteria; Pseudomonadati; Pseudomonadota.
GGGGAAUUUUGGACAAUGGGCGCAAGCCUGAUCCAGCAAUGCCGCGUGCAGGAUGAAGGCCUUCGGGUUGUAAACUGCUUUUGUACGGAACGAAAAGCCUCUCUCUAAUACAGGGGGGUGAUGACGGUACCUUCAAAGGAAGCACCGGCUAACUCCGUGCCAGCAGCCGCGGUAAUACGGAGGGUGCAAGCGUUAAUCGGAAUCACUGGGCGUAAAGCGCGCGUAGGCGGCUUUUUAAGUCGGACGUGAAAGCCCUCGGCUCAACCGGGGAAUUGCGUUCGAAACUGGGAGGCUUGAGUCCUGGAGAGGGUGGCGGAAUUCCGGGUGUAGGAGUGAAAUCCGUAGAUAUCCGGAGGAACACCGGUGGCGAAGGCGGCCACCUGGACAGGUACUGACGCUGAGGCGCGAAAGCGUGGGGAGCGAACA